GAUCCCUUAUGACCCAUGAGUUGAUCGUGAAGCAAUAUUUUGAAGAAGAGACCAGAAAAAAGAAGACAAUUGCUCUCAAGUCGAUAGCUCAAGAAGAAGAAGAUUCAGAAAAAUUAGAGAAUAGUGAAGAAGAUGAGGACUUAGCCUUAAUCAUCAAAAAAUUUAGACAUUUCACGAGGAAAACAAGAUAAAGGACCAAGAGAAGACUACCAACUAAGGGGG
Molecule: long non-coding RNA, 222 nt
Filed under: Elaeis guineensis (African oil palm)
Lineage: Eukaryota; Viridiplantae; Streptophyta; Magnoliopsida; Arecales; Arecaceae
Description: long non-coding RNA (EGUI_LNC052984)
Source: RNAcentral